GAAAUGCGAUAAGUAAUGUGAAUUGCAGAAUUCAGUGAAUCAUCGAAUCUUUGAACGCACAUUGCACCCCUUGGUAUUCCAUGGGGUAUGCUUGUUCGAGCGUCAUUUGUACUCUCAAGCUCUGCUUGGUGUUGGGUGUUUGUCCUUUCCCCCGCGAUUGGACUCGCCUUAAAUUCAUUGGCAGCUAAUAUAUUGGUUAGAAGCGCAGCACAAUUUGCGAUUCCGACUCGUAUCAUCGGCAUCCAGUAAGCGUAAUUAACACUUUUGACCUCGGAUCAAGUAGGGAUACCCGCUGAACUUAA
RNAcentral lists this unclassified non-coding RNA (302 nucleotides) under uncultured Ascomycota. RNAcentral's name for it is "sequence contains ITS1". The stretch from base 1 to 105 matches the Rfam family "5.8S ribosomal RNA", at positions 50 to 154 of the family's 154-position model. The record is from RNAcentral. Lineage: Eukaryota; Fungi; Ascomycota.